Molecule: small RNA, 28 nt
Filed under: Bombyx mori (domestic silkworm)
Lineage: Eukaryota; Metazoa; Arthropoda; Insecta; Lepidoptera; Bombycidae
Description: ovarian small RNA-28837
Source: RNAcentral
UCGCUGAAAAUAAUACUUGGACAGCCUC